CACGGGAAUGUGCUUUUCCAGGAGCCGGUGCCCUCCAGCCCCAUGUCAGAUGGUUUGGCCACUCUUCAGAUCCAGCUGGCUUCACUUCUCUGUGUCCUGUGAAUAGAAGUGCUGGCUCCUCCUCGGCACAGAGGAGCCGAGACAGACAAACUGCAUCUGUCUCCGGAGCAGACGUUGGACCGGCGGUCCCAGCUUUGGAAGCCAGCUGUGGGAGCGAUAGAAAAACUUCGACCCCUCCCUCAGACUGAACCUGUUGGGCCGGCAGACUCCACCAACUUUCCCUCAGCAUUACCACCGACCAUCCUCUGUCUUGCUCAGGCUGCUUUGGCUCUGCAGAAUGAAAGUAGUUUAUGUAGUAAGUGAUCCCUGGAAAUGUGGAUGAGGGACAUGGAGCAGAAGACAAGAGGGAGAAGAAAACAGACAAAAGGGCAGAGUGACCUUCUGGAGCUUUAGAGGAAGCCCUCGAAGAGUUGUACGUUCUGGCCUCUGGAAGACUGGCUGGUGUGCACAAGAAGUGUCCACUGCUAAGAGGAUAUUGGGUGCCACAGCAAGAUUCUGAUGCAACGAGAAAAAUAAACCACAAUUUGUUUAAGCUCCUGGAGAAGGGCUUCCUGUGACUUGCAGCUAAAAGGAUCCUUAAGAAGAGAACACUGGAUGGCCUUGUACAAGGAAGAGUUUGUGCCCAGUUCUGUGCGAGAGAGCUUUCACGAUACACUUGAUUGCAGGCCAGCAUGCCCAGGCAAUACCAUUACCUUACCUGAAUGUACUCAUCCAUGAGGGAAGAAUCACAUCCAUUUUUAACUCACUGUUCAUCCUCUCUUACAAAAUGCAAGAAGCCAACAUAUCACAUAAGGCCCAGGCAGAAUUGUGAAAGCCUUUGUUCAUGCUGUUCUCUUCUCCUGAAACUUCUCUGGUUCCUCCACCUCCAUCCAAAGUCAGUGGAUCUCAAGGAUCACCUCUUCCAUAUUUUCAGACCUCAGUUGACCGCAGGUUACUGAAACUAUGGAAAGAGAAACCACAGAUAAGAGGGGACCAGUGUACAAGAGUCCAACCUGCAACAGCUUCCACCCCCUUCCAUACGGUUUCAUAUGGCAGUAUUAGCAUUGGAAGAUGCUGGAUCCUUGAAUCCCUGCUAAGAGGACAGUCACCGAGGAGCACCUCCAGAUCCUCCUCACACUGUGACUCAUCUUUGCAAGAAGACUGGAUGAGAAGUGGUACAUUUCCAUAAGCGAUCACAAGGGCAAUGCUACCAUCUUUCACAUUUAAAGAGUCAAGUUUCAUUUCCCUUGCUAGCAGGAAGGCCCUCAGCCCAGAUACCUCCAAUUAUUUUCUGUUUGACUUUGCAGACUAUUAAGCAAUGGAUUUGGCCACAGGCUCACCCAUCCUAAUGAUGUUUUUCUUGGACUAAUAUGACAAAUCAGCUGGCAAUUGCCGAGUAACCACAUGAUGACAACUUAGAGGAGGGGACAUGAAGGGUCCAGGUGUGAGACAAAUGGCAGGAAGAAACCAGAACGUGAUUGAGACAAUACUGAAUCUGCAGAGCUGUCAAGGUACCCUUGCAGAGUGCCUGUAAAUCGUUCUGUUGGAGGGUGUGACACAGAUGGAGUCUCUGUGGCUCUGAAGAAACCACCACUGUUCUUGGAAGACGAGUGGAAAAAAUGAGCAUUGGAGUUAUAGACGCCUGCAUCCAUCGAGGACUAAUUGGUUGUCCUGGCUUCCAUGGUGUCAGAAAGCCAAGUUCUAUGAUGAUGGGCCAGUGGAAAAGAAAACAUUAUCAGCCUCAGUGCCCAGAAAACCACCAUGCAAAAGAAGAGAGGGAAACAUUUGAAAGUUGUCUUGUUUUGAUUUUUUUCAUCUUGAAAAGGGGAAGUUCUGAUGGAACAUACAAUCUAAGUGGAUCAAAGAGAACUUUCUUGAAAUGUUAAUGAGAGCUCCCACUUCUUGUAAAUGUACACGCCCUGCCUUUCACUGUCUAAGCACGCUGCACAUACUUUAUCUUAUUGGAUCCUAAGAACUCUAAGAGGCAAAGGAUGCUUAUGAUCUCAGAUCCUGGUAACCAGUAAUCUUCUCUUUGACCAUAGAACUAUCUCUAACUCUAGCAGUGAGGGUGGGGGAUAGUGGGGUGGGAUGACAGCCAGAGAAUUAGACCUUGGUCCAUGUUCUUUUUCUCCACUGAUGUUGUCUUGGAUCCCUGCUGAAAACUGGGGAACCAGCAGUCUAUUCCUCUGCUGUUGCUGAGUGGAAAUGCUCAGGACCCUGCCUCUAGGUCAGUUCCUUUUUUUCAUAGUGAUGGAGAAGGGUUCAGUUCAAUCACUUAGCGUGUCUGACUCUUUGUGACCCCAAGGACUGCAGCAUA
Molecule: long non-coding RNA, 2356 nt
Organism: Cervus elaphus (red deer)
Lineage: Eukaryota; Metazoa; Chordata; Mammalia; Artiodactyla; Cervidae
Exons: 9
Source: RefSeq, a predicted model, not a curated record